CCUUCGAUAGCUCAGUUGGUAGAGCGGUGGACUGUAGUUGGUUAAAAACAAUGGGAAUCCAUAGGUCGCUGGUUCAAAUCCGGCUCGAAGGA
This 92-nucleotide transfer RNA is filed under the name Heliconius melpomene (postman butterfly). RNAcentral's name for it is "tRNA HMEL013010". It matches the Rfam family "tRNA". From Rfam's summary of the family: Transfer RNA (tRNA) molecules are approximately 80 nucleotides in length. Their secondary structure includes four short double-helical elements and three loops (D, anti-codon, and T loops). Lineage: Eukaryota; Metazoa; Arthropoda; Insecta; Lepidoptera; Nymphalidae. The record is from RNAcentral.